Molecule: ribosomal RNA, 465 nt
Filed under: uncultured bacterium
Lineage: Bacteria
Description: partial 16S ribosomal RNA
Rfam family: Bacterial small subunit ribosomal RNA
Source: RNAcentral
GCGGCGUGCUUCAUACGUGCAAGUCGAACGAGAAGCAGGAGCUUGCUCCUGUGGAAAGUGGCGGACGGGUGAGUAACACGUAGGAAAUCUGCCCUUGGGUGGGGGACAACAGUUGGAAACGACUGCUAAUACCCCAUAUGAGCUUGGUUGCAAUACCAAUCUUGAAAACUCCGGUGCCUAAAGAUGAGCCUGCGUCUGAUUAGCUUGUUGGCGGGGUAAUGGCCCACCAAGGCGACGAUCAGUAGCUGGUUUGAGAGGAUGAUCAGCCACAAUGGGACUGAGACACGGCCCAUACUCCUACGGGAGGCAGCAGUAGGGAAUUGUGCGCAAGGGGGGAAACCCUGACGCAGCAACGCCGCGUGAAUGACGAAGCCCUUCGGGGUGUAAAGUUCUGUCAGUAGGGAAGAAUUUUGACUGUACCUACAAAGGAAGCACCGGCUAACUCCGUGCCAGCCGCCGCAGUAA